Molecule: ribosomal RNA, 717 nt
Filed under: Escherichia sp.
Lineage: Bacteria; Pseudomonadati; Pseudomonadota; Gammaproteobacteria; Enterobacterales; Enterobacteriaceae
Description: bacterial SSU rRNA
Rfam family: Bacterial small subunit ribosomal RNA
Source: RNAcentral
AACGCUGGCGGCAGGCCUAACACAUGCAAGUCGAACGGUAACAGGAAGCAGCUUGCUUCUUUGCUGACGAGUGGCGGACGGGUGAGUAAUGUCUGGGAAACUGCCUGAUGGAGGGGGAUAACUACUGGAAACGGUAGCUAAUACCGCAUAACGUCGCAAGACCAAAGAGGGGGACCUUCGGGCCUCUUGCCAUCGGAUGUGCCCAGAUGGGAUUAGCUGUAGGUGGGGUAACGGCUCACCUAGGCGACGAUCCCUAGCUGGUCUGAGAGGAUGACCAGCCACACUGGAACUGAGACACGGUCCAGACUCCUACGGGAGGCAGCAGUGGGGAAUAUUGCACAAUGGGCGCAAGCCUGAUGCAGCCAUGCCGCGUGUAUGAAGAAGGCCUUCGGGUUGUAAAGUACUUUCAGCGGGGAGGAAGGGAGUAAAGUUAAUACCUUUGCUCAUUGACGUUACCCGCAGAAGAAGCACCGGCUAACUCCGUGCCAGCAGCCGCGGUAAUACGGAGGGUGCAAGCGUUAAUCGGAAUUACUGGGCGUAAAGCGCACGCAGGCGGUUUGUUAAGUCAGAUGUGAAAUCCCCGGGCUCAACCUGGGAACUGCAUCUGAUACUGGCAAGCUUGAGUCUCGUAGAGGGGGGUAGAAUUCCAGGUGUAGCGGUGAAAUGCGUAGAGAUCUGGAGGAAUACCGGUGGCGAAGGCGGCCCCCUGACGAAGAC